UACUCGGAUAACUGUGGCAAUUCUAGAGCUAAUACGCGCAAGAAGGCUCGGACCUUACGGGACGAGCGCAUUUAUUAGACCAAAACCAAUCGGGCUUCGGCCUGUGCUUUGGUGACUCUGAAUAACUAAGCCGAUCGCACGGUCUUAGUACCGGCGACGCAUCUUUCAAGUGUCUGCCUUAUCAACUUUCGAUGGUAGUUUAUGUGCCUACCAUGGUUGUAACGGGUAACGGAGAAUAAGGGUUCGACUCCGGAGAGGGAGCCUGAGAAACGGCUACCACAUCCAAGGAAGGCAGCAGGCGCGCAAAUUACCCACUCUCGGCACGAGGAGGUAGUGACGAAAAAAUACCGGCCCUAUAAUGUCUGGGGNCCGCCAUCGGAAUGGGA
This 386-nucleotide ribosomal RNA is filed under the name Tardigrada environmental sample. RNAcentral's name for it is "bacterial SSU rRNA". It matches the Rfam family "Eukaryotic small subunit ribosomal RNA", at positions 136 to 519 of the family's 1831-position model. Lineage: Eukaryota; Metazoa; Tardigrada. The record is from RNAcentral.